CGGCGGUGCCGGGGAGGGGCUGGGCGGCGGUGGCGCCGCCGGGGACGCCGCGGCCCUGGCCGGCCGUUCGGGCGCUGCGGCCGCUGGC
Molecule: transfer RNA, 88 nt
Filed under: Allostella sp. ATCC 35155
Lineage: Bacteria; Pseudomonadati; Pseudomonadota; Alphaproteobacteria; Rhodospirillales; Allostellaceae
Description: Stella sp. ATCC 35155 tRNA-Ala
Source: RNAcentral